UUAGUUUGGUGCAAAAGUAAUUGCAGUUUUUGCCAUUACUUUAAUGGUAAAAAUCACCAUCACUUUUUCACCAACCUAA
RNAcentral lists this microRNA precursor (79 nucleotides) under Aotus nancymaae (Ma's night monkey). RNAcentral's name for it is "miRNA (ENSANAG00000009324.1)". Lineage: Eukaryota; Metazoa; Chordata; Mammalia; Primates; Aotidae. The record is from RNAcentral.